GAUGAACGCUGGCGGCGUGCCUAAUACAUGCAAGUCGAACGCGCCGAGAAGGGAACUUGUUCCUUUCAACGCGCGUGGCGAACGGGUGAGUAACACGUGGGAAACCUACCCUUCAGCGGGGGAUAACCAUCGGAAACGAUGACUAAUACCGCAUAGUUGUUACAGUCGCAUGACAGGAAUGGGAAAGACGGCUUCGGUUGUCACUGAAGGAUGGUCCCGCGGUGCAUUAGCUAGACGGUGGGGUAACGGCCUACCGUGGCUUUGAUGCAUAGCCGACCUGAGAGGGUGAUCGGCCACAUUGGGACUGAGACACGGCCCAAACUCCUACGGGAGGCAGCAGUAGGGAAUCUUCCGCAAUGGGCGCAAGCCUGACGGAGCAACGCCGCGUGUGUGAAGAAGGUCUUCGGAUCGUAAAGCACUGUUAUCAGAGAAGAAUAACCUUUAAAGUAACUGUGAUAGGUUUGACGGUAACUGAUCAGAAAGCCACGGCUAACUACGUG
This 500-nucleotide ribosomal RNA is filed under the name uncultured bacterium. Its description in RNAcentral is "partial 16S ribosomal RNA". It matches the Rfam family "Bacterial small subunit ribosomal RNA", at positions 28 to 507 of the family's 1533-position model. The record is from RNAcentral.